RNAcentral lists this ribosomal RNA (173 nucleotides) under Gastrotheca griswoldi (Griswold's marsupial frog). Its description in RNAcentral is "16S ribosomal RNA". Lineage: Eukaryota; Metazoa; Chordata; Amphibia; Anura; Hemiphractidae. The record is from RNAcentral.
ACGUGAUCUGAGUUCAGACCGGAGCAAUCCAGGUCAGUUUCUAUCUAUAAGAAGUCUUCUCUAGUACGAAAGGACCGAAAAGGCAUAGCCAAUACAUUAGCAAGCUAUCCGCAUCAACUUAUGAUUUAAACUCAAUAAGCACCUAGUUCAACACUCAACCUUAGAAAAAGGUA